UGCAGUCGAGCGGGCCCUUCGGGGUCAGCGGCGGACGGGUGAGUAACGCGUGGGAACGUGCCUUCUGGUCUGGAAUAACCCUGGGAAACUAGGGCUAAUACCGGAUACGCCCUUUUGGGGAAAGGUUUACUGCCGGAAGAUCGGCCCGCGUCUGAUUAGCUAGUUGGUGGGGUAACGGCCUACCAAGGCGACGAUCAGUAGCUGGUCUGAGAGGAUGAUCAGCCACACUGGGACUGAGACACGGCCCAGACUCCUACGGGAGGCAGCAGUGGGGAAUAUUGGACAAUGGGCGCAAGCCUGAUCCAGCCAUGCCGCGUGAGUGAUGAAGGCCUUAGGGUUGUAAAGCUCUUUUAUCCGGGACGAUAAUGACGGUACCGGAGGAAUAAGCCCCGGCUAACUUCGUGCCAGCAGCCGCGGUAAUACGAAGGGGGCUAGCGUUGCUCGGAAUCACUGGGCGUAAAGGGCGCGUAGGCGGCGUUUUAAGUCGGGGGUGAAAGCCUGUGGCUCAACCACAGAAUGGCCUUCGAUACUGGGACGCUUGAGUAUGGUAGAGGUUGGUGGAACUG
Molecule: ribosomal RNA, 566 nt
Filed under: Methylobacterium sp. A96T2
Lineage: Bacteria; Pseudomonadati; Pseudomonadota; Alphaproteobacteria; Hyphomicrobiales; Methylobacteriaceae
Description: bacterial SSU rRNA
Rfam family: Bacterial small subunit ribosomal RNA
Source: RNAcentral